AGAAUCCCUUGAUAUAGCAAUCAAAGCAUAAUUAAAUUAAACUUAAAUAAGAAGAAUACCUGUGGUGCUAAUCCUAAUUUCGAUAGAGCUUCCACUAGGUGCUCAAAUGUUCACCAUCCACGGCGAUCCAUAUGAAAAUUGAACCAAGAACAGCUUUCUUCCUUCACCUUGCUUCAACCCCUAAAACUUGACUAGCCACC
Molecule: long non-coding RNA, 200 nt
Filed under: Elaeis guineensis (African oil palm)
Lineage: Eukaryota; Viridiplantae; Streptophyta; Magnoliopsida; Arecales; Arecaceae
Description: long non-coding RNA (EGUI_LNC078047)
Source: RNAcentral